RNAcentral lists this long non-coding RNA (819 nucleotides) under Rhinopithecus bieti (black snub-nosed monkey). RNAcentral's name for it is "lncRNA (ENSRBIG00000045341.1)". The record is from RNAcentral. Lineage: Eukaryota; Metazoa; Chordata; Mammalia; Primates; Cercopithecidae.
UGCCUGUCUGCCAGACAAAGUCUCUCCCGUCAGCAAAGGGCAGGUGGACACCCAGGAUGGAAAGGAGCCAUUUGAGAGGCACAAGCGUCAGCCUUCUCUGCCCUGCAGCCAGGGGCUGAUGGAGCUGGUGCAGAGGGAAGGAAGACACAGAACGGCUUGUAAUCGUGGAGGACAUGAUCAGAGCUGGAGUUUUGAAUGGGAAACUGCUGACCACGUGCGAGGCGGCUAACAGAUGGAAAAGAACAGAGGCCAUGCGUCCAGUGUGGAGGAGAUGAGGGGGCCUGAGCCAAGGCAGUGGCAGUGAGGAAGGCAGACUGGGGAACGGACUUUUAAAAAUGGAUUUGAAAAUAUCCAUUGAGCACUUCCCCCCACCUCUGACCACUCCAUAUCCACUCCGAUCCCUCCCUCCAAAGCUUCACUCUGCAGCCAAGUGAUCAUUUCAAAGCAGAUCUCAUCACAUCUCCCCUGCUUACCAGCUCUCUGAAGGCUUCUGAAUUCCUUUGAGAUAAAAGUCCACAUUCCUUAACACGGUCUGAAGGCCCCACGGGGUCUGGUCAUCGGCCUGUCCCAUGCUGUUCCUUGCUCUUGCUGCUCCAGCCCAUGUGUUCCCCUAGCACAGGGCCUUUGCACAUGCUGUUCCCUCUCCUGGGAGGCUUUUCCUUCUCCUUCUCCUCCUCCUCCUCUGGUUAACACUCACUCAUUGAGAUCUCAAUUCAAGUAGAUGUCCUGACCUCCCUGAUUAGCUCAAAUUCCCCUAGGGCAGGCAAGCACCCUGUAGCUCUCUUGAUGUCAUCUGUCAUCCCAGUUGUUGUUGUUGUU